This 1188-nucleotide long non-coding RNA is filed under the name Olea europaea (common olive). Its description in RNAcentral is "long non-coding RNA (OEUR_LNC002534)". Lineage: Eukaryota; Viridiplantae; Streptophyta; Magnoliopsida; Lamiales; Oleaceae. The record is from RNAcentral.
UUCAAGUACGUUUUUCAUUAUUUUCAAUUCAUACCCUCAUGUAUAAAUUCUCUUUCUGACUUAAGCAUUGGAGGGAUGACAAUGAUACACCUCGACGCUUUUGUUUCAAGUAUUGGAAGAUCUCGCUAGCAAUCAAUCUCAGUCAUCAAGCACAUCAAGCUCGGAGAUAACAGGUGCGAUUUUUUAUUUUUAUUUUUUUGGUAUCAUCAAGUACUAAUCACAAUGUUCGGAGUGAAAAUCAAUUAUUCUUUUUGAUAAAUAACAUUCCGUCCAAGAUAAAGUUUAUCUCAAAAUCGAAUGUGGAGUUUGACAUUAAUCAAGAGUCUUCAGCCCCUUUCCUUCACAGAGUUACAUUCAACAAACACUCGACAUCGAUGAGGCAAUUGUGUGUUUUCUCCACUAUAAAUGUAAAGAAGGGUACAGCUAAAUGUUGGUGCAACAUUUUAUUUUAUUUUAAUGCGAAGUCGAAGGAACAUAGUGGGGGAAAUAGUUCAAUGUCUAGUUAUCUUGUCCUAAAAGAUAAGAGUUGAAAAUGGACUUUCUUCGUGUUAUAAUGUACCAACACGUGACACUAAUAUCAUUAAUAGUGUCUCCAUAAUCUCCAUUUUAUUACAUUUAAAAGUCUUACUCCGUGUCCAAAUCGGUUUUGGAUGGUAAAAUUUGUGCCAUGUGUUUACGAAUUUUGAUUACUUCAAGACCGAUUUUACGUAGUUAAGAAUGAAUGGAGUAACUGAUUUAUCAGAAGAAUUGAAAAUAUGUCAUGUGAAUCAAUUUAAAGGCAGAACUAUCUUACUAAUUGACCGACCACGGUUUGAACAUACUUUUUUUUUAUUACUUUUAGACUAUUUUAGUUGAUUUUGGGUUUUGUCAAUGGCCACUAUACUCUAUGAUACAUGAUCGUGUCUCUUCGAUUGGUUUUUGCUUAAUUUUCAAGCAAAAAGGUACAAUACCGUCAUCCAAUUCAGCUGGAAACGUGUCUUCACUUGGAGAAAUCGGAUUGUAAUUUUUUUCCUUCUAUUAUUCUGUAUUCACAUUAUGUAAGUCUAAUCAUUGUCGUUAUGCAAAGUCCAUAUACAAGUCAACCUGCUCGGAGUCUAAAAAGUGAACCAUCGUUCGAGUUUAUUCAAUGAUCAUAAAAAAGAGAUAUUAGAGAAAAGAGAGAAUUACCUUAAUUUAUUAUUUUUAUUA